GAUGAAGAACGUAGCGAAAUGCGAUACGUAAUGUGAAUUGCAGAAUUCAGUGAAUCAUCGAAUCUUUGAACGCAUAUUGCGCUCUCUGGUAUUCCGGAGAGCAUGCUUGUUUGAGUAUCAGUAAACACCUCAACUCCCUUUUCUUUUUUUAAAUUGGAGCUGGACUUGAGUGAUCCCAACGCUUUCUUCCAAGAAAGUGGCGGGUUGCUUGAAAUGCAGGUGCAGCUGAACUUUUCUCUGAGCUAUAAGCAUAUCUAUUUAGUCUGCCUAAAAAACAGAUUAUUACCUUUGCUGCAGCUAACAUAAAGGAGACUAGUUCUUGUGCUGACUGAUGCAGGAUUCACAGAGACAGCUUCGGCUGACUUUGUAAACUCGAUCUCAAAUCAAGUAAGACUACCCGCUGAACUUAAGCAUAUCAAUAAGCGGAGGA
This 430-nucleotide unclassified non-coding RNA is filed under the name soil metagenome. RNAcentral's name for it is "partial contains 5.8S ribosomal RNA, internal transcribed spacer 2, and large subunit ribosomal RNA". The stretch from base 1 to 120 matches the Rfam family "5.8S ribosomal RNA", at positions 35 to 154 of the family's 154-position model. The record is from RNAcentral.